UACGUAGGGUGCAAGCGUUGUCCGGAAUUAUUGGGCGUAAAGAGCUCGUAGGCGGUUUGUCGCGUCUGCUGUGAAAACCCGAGGCUCAACCCCGGACUUGCAGUGGGUACGGGCAGACUAGAGUGUGGUAGGGGAGACUGGAAUUCCUGGUGUAGCGGUGAAAUGCGCAGAUAUCAGGAGGAACACCGAUGGCGAAGGCAGGUCUCUGGGCCACUACUGACGCUGAGAAGCGAAAGCAUGGGGAGCGAACAGG
Molecule: ribosomal RNA, 253 nt
Filed under: uncultured bacterium
Lineage: Bacteria
Description: partial 16S ribosomal RNA
Rfam family: Bacterial small subunit ribosomal RNA
Source: RNAcentral